GGCCACGUGGCCUAAUGGAUAAGGCGUCUGACUUCGGAUCAGAAGUGUUGCAGGUUCGAAUCCUGCCGUGGUCG
Lethenteron reissneri (Far Eastern brook lamprey) is the source of this 74-nucleotide non-coding RNA. The record is from the annotation of a RefSeq genome assembly. NCBI's taxonomy places the organism in Eukaryota, Metazoa, Chordata, Hyperoartia, Petromyzontiformes, Petromyzontidae.